GACGCGAACAGUUUGGCCUUCGAGGACUCGGUGGCGAAGGGCUGCCCCCGGUCGACGAGGUCGGCGACCCGCCAGGUGAGCAGCCUGGCCGCGUCC
RNAcentral lists this transfer RNA (96 nucleotides) under Streptomyces lasiicapitis. RNAcentral describes it as "tRNA-Leu". Lineage: Bacteria; Bacillati; Actinomycetota; Actinomycetes; Kitasatosporales; Streptomycetaceae. The record is from RNAcentral.